CAAUAGCGUAUAUUUAAGUUGUUGCAGUUAAAAAGCUCGUCGUUGGAUUUCGGAUGGGAUUUGCCGGUCCGUCGUUACGAUGUGCACUGGCCAGUCCUAUCUUGUUGUCGGGGACUAGCUCCUUGGAUUCACUUCCUGGGACUAGGAGCUGACGAGGUUACUUUGAGUAAAUUAGAGUGUUCAAAGCAAGCCUACGCUCUGAAUACAUUAGCAUGGAAUAACACGAUAGGACUCUGGCUUAUCUUGUUGGUCUGUGAGACCAGAGUAAUGAUUAAGAGGGACAGUCGGGGACAUUCGUAUUUCAUUGUCAGAGGUGAAAUUCUUGGAUUUAUGAAAGACGAACUUCUGCGAAAGCAUUUGUCAAGGAUGUUUNCAUUAA
This 379-nucleotide ribosomal RNA is filed under the name uncultured eukaryote. RNAcentral's name for it is "partial 18S ribosomal RNA". It matches the Rfam family "Eukaryotic small subunit ribosomal RNA", at positions 592 to 976 of the family's 1831-position model. The record is from RNAcentral.